Molecule: ribosomal RNA, 342 nt
Filed under: Salmonella enterica subsp. enterica serovar Enteritidis
Lineage: Bacteria; Pseudomonadati; Pseudomonadota; Gammaproteobacteria; Enterobacterales; Enterobacteriaceae
Description: partial 23S ribosomal RNA
Rfam family: Bacterial large subunit ribosomal RNA
Source: RNAcentral
AAUCCAUAGGUUAAUGAGGCGAACCGGGGGAACUGAAACAUCUAAGUACCCCGAGGAAAAGAAAUCAACCGAGAUUCCCCCAGUAGCGGCGAGCGAACGGGGAGGAGCCCAGAGCCUGAAUCAGCAUGUGUGUUAGUGGAAGCGUCUGGAAAGGCGCGCGAUACAGGGUGACAGCCCCGUACACAAAAGCGCAUGUGCUGUGAGCUCGAUGAGUAGGGCGGGACACGUGGUAUCCUGUCUGAAUAUGGGGGGACCAUCCUCCAAGGCUAAAUACUCCUGACUGACCGAUAGUGAACCAGUACCGUGAGGGAAAGGCGAAAAGAACCCCGGCGAGGGGAGUGA